This 4742-nucleotide long non-coding RNA is filed under the name Podarcis lilfordi (Lilford's wall lizard). Lineage: Eukaryota; Metazoa; Chordata; Lepidosauria; Squamata; Lacertidae. The record is from RNAcentral.
CACCAAAGGAGGGCCUUGCCAAGUACACAGGCAACUGAAACAGGUGAUGUCAAUAAGCUGCCAAUAGUUAAGCUAAGGAAGGAAUAUUGCAGGUGAGCUAGAUGGACCAGUGGUCUGGCUUAAUAUACGUCAUGUCCUAUGCACCUAUGGAACUUCAGCAUAAGGACUUGCCAAUUUACUUUAAUGAAGGGAGAAGCUCCAGUCUCUCCAUUCUGUGGCUACGAAUGAGGAAGCCCUUGCAGACAUAAACAUUUAUUGUGUGCACUGGAACCCAGUAAAUGGAAAUAACUGUGGGACUGUGAUGACUGAUUCAAUUACCAAAGGGAAAAUGUUGUUUGUAUAAACACGCAGGAAGCCUGAUGCUUGGGUUUACUUUUGUCCACAGAUGUAUCACUGUACCAUGAUUUAGCUAAUAUUAAAAAUACACACAUAGCAAAGUCUUAAAGAGGUCACAGAUCAAUUAUGCCUUGAUCUGCUUUCUUCUGAACUAAGUCAGGAUGGGCAGGUAACCUGGAUCUGAGAUAGUAAUCUAUACUAGGGGCUUAGGUUCCUAUAGCAAACUAAUGCAACAACAUACUGAAGAGCCAUUUGCAAUAUCUCUGUGAUGCAGCCAAGCCAGCAUAUAAUGUGGAGUAAAUGUUGUUUAGUAAAAGAAUGAACACUGAUAAAUGUCUGGCCAUUAAGGUCAGCCCAUGGAGAAUGAAACAAGAAACUGCUGUGAAGAGGGAAAUAGAGGCGAGGGAGGAGGGAAAAGUUUAAAAUUCAGCACCAUGGACAGUAGCACUCACAUUUUGGUAUAAUGGAGUUUGCACAAAGCUUAAUUUUCAGUCUUACAUGCUGAAGCACCAUAAUACAACAGUUAUUUUAAGCCUCUUGGAGCUUUUCUAAACUCUUUGUGUGCCGAGUGCUUGCCACACGCCCACCUGUUUUCAAUGAUUUGGGCGGGGGGGGGGGUAGAGAAAUGGAAAGAAUUCUUUGCAAGAGCACUCAACAAAAUGACAGGUUUAAUAAUCUGCACUUAGACAGCACUUUUCAUCCAAGGGUCUCAGAGAUCUUUAUAAAUAUUCAUGCACUUUAUACAUAUUUUCAGCCAAUGUACCCUCCCUUUCCUCCAUCCCAAACAAGUAAAUAUACCCCAAUUCCCCUUUUGCAGAUCUGGAAAGGCAGACUCAAAAUUCAGGGAAAGUGAAAUUUAAAGGGCAACCCUCUGUAUAUCUAUUGAGCAGUAUGUCCCAUUGAGUUCAGUGGGACACUUGGUCACAGGCAAAUGUAUACAGGAUUGUAUCCUCAGAGUGACAAAGCAAUUCUUCUGGAGUCACAAUAAAGGGUCAGCUAUAAACAGAAACAGAAAUAGGGUGGGAGAUAAGAAAAUAGGCUUUUUCUUUUUACCAGUAGUUGGCAAUCAUUGGGACAUGUAGUGUGUAAUAUUGUGGCUUUUAUGUAAUGUCAGCAAUCAAUGCACAGUUUUAUCAGUAACUCUUUAUAGCAGACUUUAAUGUGCAGCUUUGAAAUCUUGUAGUUCUAGGUUGCAUAGGAAGCUGCUAUAUACAGUGUCAGAUUAUUUGUUCAUCUAGCUCGGCAUCUACUCUGACUGGCAGUGGCUCUACCAGGUUUCAGGCAGAGGUCUUUCUCAUUUCUGCUCCCUGAUCCUUUUAAACUGCAUAUAUCAUGGACUGAACUGGGCAUGUUUUGCAUGCAAAGUGUGUGCUGUGCCACUAAGCUGUCUUUCCUCAUAGCUUCAUUGCCUUCCAGUCUCUUUCCCAGCUCAAUUCAAAGUGCUUUUCAUUAUUUUUAAAUCCCUAAACAGCUUAUAGCCAGGAUACUUAAAGGACCAUCACCUCCUACAUUAGCCUGCUGGUCCAUGCAAUGAGCUAGGAGACCCUAUAUGCACUGCUGUCAUCUGAUGUUUCGGAGUUGGGAACACAUGAAAGGGUAUUCUCUGUUGUUGCACCCUUCCCUGGGGGAUCCUUGGUGAUUUAUGUUUCAUCAGGUCAUUGACCUGAUUGAUAAUUGACCCUGGCUCCUUUAUGCACUGACUGAUCCAUUUAUCUGUUAUGCUUAUGUUUUCUAAGAGAGCACUGCAUAAGCGGUAAGACUGUCACACAAUUAAAUAGUUGGUUAAACACAUUAGUCAAAUUGGUCAACAGAUUAAAUGUGUACAAAUCUGCAUGUGCAUAAGUCCCAUGAUUUGUAAAUAAAAUGCGUUCUGAAUCAAUCUACUCAGAAGUAAGCCCAACUAGUUUCAAUGGGACUACAGCGUAAUCUGCAGAACUGCAAGUAUGCAAGUGCUCAGAGUGUUGCCUUCCCUUGGUGGUCAGACAGAAUCAUCACCAUCCUUUCUCCUUUCCAGGCUGACUCCUCCAAAAGCAAGACAAGGACCAGCAAUGGCACUCACACACACAAAAGUUCUAAGCCUCCAUGCCUGCAACUAAGUCAUACUCCCAGUUCUGUCAAGAAGAAGAAGAAGAGUUUGGAUUUGAUAUCCCGUCUUUCACUCCCUUUAAAGAGUCUCAAAGCGGCUCACAUUCUCCUUUCCCUUCCUCCAACAAACACUCUGUGAGGUGAGUGAGGCUGAGAGACUUCAGAGAAGUGUGACUGGCCCAAGGUCACCCAGCAGCUGCAUGUGGAGGAGCGGGGAAUCGAACCCGGUUCCCCAGAUUACGAGACUACCGCUCUUAACCACUACACCAUGCUAGCAACUGAGGAGUGGGCGGAAGAGAGAGGAAAAUGGAAGAUACCAAGAUGAGAGUGGGGGAAAUGGAAAAGGCUUCUUCUAAGAAGAUAUCCAAUUAAUUUGGAGAGAUUUGUAAUCAUUUCGAACAAGCAAAAGUAAUCAUUUAGACCAGAUGUUUUGGACUGCAACUCCCAUUACCUCCAACCAGGAUGUCUGUGCUGGCUGGGGAUGAUAGGAGUUGUAGUCCAAGACAUCUGGAGAGCAUCAGGAUGGCAAAGCCAUUUGAUCAAUUGAUUAAACAUCACAGCCCUAAUGAUAAUUUAUCCCUUUCCUUUGCUGGUAAUAUUGUGAUUAGGAUAUAUCAAUUCAGCACUAAGAAAAACCUGUUUAGGCAUGCACUCACAGCCUUGUUGACUUAAUCCUAGAAAUUCCUGUGAACAGAUUAUUAUUAAUUAGAAUUUAUCGACAGCCUCUUUAUUCCAAGUGGUAUCUUUAAAUUAAGCCAGUUUCAGAAUACCUAACUCUCUGGGCUAUAUUUUCUAUCUCCUUCAGUAUCAGGAUAAAUUCCCAAGGGAGAAAUAGAAUUGUUUCUUACAGUGAACAGGAUAGGAAAGGACGGCACUCAGAGACAGUGGCACUGUUUAAUCAGAUGCAGCAGACUUCUAACUUACUAUGGAAAAGGUGCACAGCCUUGCACAAUUCACUAUCUCUAAACCCUUAGUUCCCCAUCUGGAAAAUGAGAGUAAAAGUGACCUGCAUUACUAUUUUGUUGUAAAGUCAAGCAGGCCACAAUCCACUGGGAAGUUGUUCUGCACAAGUCCCCUUCCAAAAACAUUGUACGGUGACAUUGUGCAGCUCCUAUUUAUUUCAAUGAAAUUUGCACAGAGGAGUCCCUGGUGGAUUGUGCCCACGGGGUGUGUGUGUUAUGCACAUUAAAAAGUGUCAUGGGCCUGGAAAGGAUGUGAAAGCCACAUAAAUGCAUCCUCGGGGCAAAAUGGCAGAACAACGAAAGCUUUGAUGGAUUUAUGCUGUGAAACAAACUCUUUAACAUUCACUGUUCUUCACAAAAGCUACCCUUCAACGUGGACUUUGUCUCUGCUGCCUUGCCUAAGGCAGGCUGCCCAGCUUUUAUCCAUUAAUGUUCAUUGCAGAAUCUCAACCCCUUUAAGAAGUGGCAGAGAGCUUGUAAAUCCUGCCAUCCGAUGAGCUGUGCUGUUGCAGUGUGUCAACUCAAUGUGUGGAAGGGAAAACAGAUGUGCUAAGUAGAGGGUGGGUUUUUUUCUCCUUGUUUACUGUGUGGUUUAUCUCCUCUUCAGUCUUCCUCUUUCUGUUUAAAUAUUUGAUGUCAUUUUGUUUAUUUCUGUGACAAAUGAUUUGGGGUUUCAUUUCCAGAAACAGAAAAGUGUCAGCAAUGCCAGCAUUGCUGGGGCAUCUGUUCCUUGCUAUUAAUUAGUCCCUUUCCCUGCUUGCUUGCCUCCUAAAAACAGAGAUGCCUACAUCAUGUAACUGUCAUUUAUUUGUAGCAGCAGAUCCAUUUCCUUGAGACUGUCUCUCUGGCUGCUUUUCAGUGCCUACUUGUGUCCAGUCUCAGUGAAAAGUUUGUGGAAUUUGAAGCCACAAGAUGUGAUGGUGCUCACAAGCUUAAAAAUGGACUUCGAUAGAUGCACCAAGGAUAACCAAGCAAUCUGCUGGUUGGGAAUCUGAAGGCCCUGGGCUUCAUCCCGGUCCACCAACAAUAGUUCUCUAGCACCCAAACCAUUGGAACAUAGGAAGCUGCAGUGUACUGAGUGGGAAUAUUGGUCCACCUAACUCAGUGUCAUCUUGUAGCAGCUCUCCAGUAUUUAAGACAGAGACUCCCUCCCUGGCUUACAGAUAUUGAACCUGGGACCUUCUCAAUGCAAAGUAGAUGCUCUAUCACUUAAGUACAGCCCUUACCCAAUUGUUUUUUGGAGGUCACAAAAAGCAUGUUAGGGGUUGUGAUUAUGUUCCUACUUCAUUCCUUCCCACUGGAAUUAGUUAGAAGGAAAUUACUUACACAAGGGCAGGCGCGUGGCAUGUUUUGGGUGAC